CGGGGUGAGUAACGCGUGAGUAACCUGCCUUACACAAGGGGAUAGCCGUUGGAAACGACGAAUAAUACCCUAUGACAUAAACUCUUCGCAUGAGGAGCUUAUCAAAGAUUUAUCGGUGUAAGAUGGACUCGCGUCUGAUUAGCUAGUUGGUGAGGUAACGGCCCACCAAGGCGACGAUCAGUAGCCGGCUUGAGAGAGUGUACGGCCACAUUGGGACUGAGACACGGCCCAGACUCCUACGGGAGGCAGCAGCA
This 254-nucleotide ribosomal RNA is filed under the name uncultured Anaerococcus sp. RNAcentral's name for it is "partial 16S ribosomal RNA". It matches the Rfam family "Bacterial small subunit ribosomal RNA", at positions 100 to 355 of the family's 1533-position model. The record is from RNAcentral. Lineage: Bacteria; Bacillati; Bacillota; Tissierellia; Tissierellales; Peptoniphilaceae.